AGAGUUUGAUCCUGGCUCAGGACGAACGCUGGCGGCGUGCUUAACACAUGCAAGUCGAGCGGUAAGGCUCCUUCGGGAGUACACGAGCGGCGAACGGGUGAGUAACACGUGAGCAAUCUGCCCUUCACUUUGGGAUAACUCCGGGAAACCGGUGCUAAUACCGAAUGCGACCACUUCAGGCAUCUGACGGUGGUGGAAAGUUCCGGCGGUGAAGGAUGAGCUCGCGGCCUAUCAGCUUGUUGGUGAGGUAAUGGCUCACCAAGGCUUCGACGGGUAGCCGGCCUGAGAGGGUGACCGGCCACGCUGGGACUGAGACACGGCCCAGACUCCUACGGGAGGCAGCAGUGGGGAAUAUUGGACAAUGGGCGAAAGCCUGAUCCAGCAACGCCGCGUGAGGGAUGACGGCCUUCGGGUUGUAAACCUCUUUCAGCAGGGACGAAGCGAAAGUGACGGUACCUGCAAAAGAAGCACCGGCCAACUACGUG
Molecule: ribosomal RNA, 485 nt
Filed under: uncultured bacterium
Lineage: Bacteria
Description: bacterial SSU rRNA
Rfam family: Bacterial small subunit ribosomal RNA
Source: RNAcentral